Molecule: unclassified non-coding RNA, 240 nt
Filed under: soil metagenome
Description: partial contains 5.8S ribosomal RNA, internal transcribed spacer 2, and large subunit ribosomal RNA
Source: RNAcentral
AAGACUAUAGACCUGCGGAGUACCUGCGGAGGGAUCAUUAACGUAUCUCUGACGGGAGGCGGUGCGCCCAGCUCCGGUCCAAACGGCCGUGCAGCGGGUGCCCGCCCCUGUUCACACCUCACAAACCCACCGUGAACCCUCACGGCAGAGGGAGGGGGCGACCCUUCCGAUGCCGCAUACCAAAAACACCUGUUGUACAGAACGUCGUGCGGACUCUGUUCCGCCUAAAUCACAAAACAA